GUCGGAUAAUCGCGCUAAAAAUUAGUGAGGAAAGUCCGUGCAUCCAAGAACAGCUCCCCUGAGAAACUCAGGACGACGUGAGUCGGUGGAUAGUGCCACAGAAAUGUAGACUGCCCUGCGGAAAGAGUUUUUGACUACGUCAAUACUCCACCACAGAGCGAUGGUGCAACGGUGAGGUAAGAGCAUCACCAGCGAUAUUGAGAAAUAUCGGCUAGGUAAACCCGGAGAGGAUGCAAGAUUAAAUCAAAGGUUAAAGGUUGUUCGCCUACUUUGGAAAAAUCGCUAGAGUCUGUAAGUAAUUACAUUCCCAGACAGAUGAUUAUCUAGAAACAGAACACGGCUUAUGAGCUGCUUU
This 355-nucleotide RNase P RNA is filed under the name bovine gut metagenome. RNAcentral's name for it is "Bacterial RNase P class A". It matches the Rfam family "Bacterial RNase P class A". From Rfam's summary of the family: Ribonuclease P (RNase P) is a ubiquitous endoribonuclease, found in archaea, bacteria and eukarya as well as chloroplasts and mitochondria. Its best characterised activity is the generation of mature 5'-ends of tRNAs by cleaving the 5'-leader elements of precursor-tRNAs. The record is from RNAcentral.